GAUGUGGGGGUUGCGGGCUUCUCAGAAGUCAGCUCUCCUUAAAUGCAUUAGCAAAACCUUUGUUGACCAUCUCUGGUGUGAUAAUUAUCUACGCCAUUGGGAAGCAGCUUUUAUAUGGGGUUUAGCUUCUAACUGUCUUAUCAUUGGACAACUCUUGACAUUUUGACCUCAAAUCAGGUAGGACUACCCGCUGAACUUAA
RNAcentral lists this unclassified non-coding RNA (200 nucleotides) under soil metagenome. RNAcentral's name for it is "partial contains internal transcribed spacer 2 and large subunit ribosomal RNA". The record is from RNAcentral.